RNAcentral lists this ribosomal RNA (834 nucleotides) under Otidea sp. RNAcentral's name for it is "eukaryotic LSU rRNA". It matches the Rfam family "Eukaryotic large subunit ribosomal RNA", at positions 86 to 904 of the family's 3401-position model. Lineage: Eukaryota; Fungi; Ascomycota; Pezizomycetes; Pezizales; Pyronemataceae. The record is from RNAcentral.
ACUGCGAGUGAAGCGGCAAAAGCUCAAAUUUGAAAAGGGGCCCGUGGGGGCGUGAUUUUUCUCAGCUCUGACCCCCCAGUUGUAAUUUAGAGGAUUACCUUGGCAAUUGGCCGUCGUCUCAAGUUCUUUGGAACAAGACAUCACAGAGGGUGAGAGUCCCGUCAAAUAAGGUGGCGUGCCGAAAGCCGUUGUGGUAUAUCCAACGAGUCGAGUUGUUUGGGAAUGCAGCUCAAAAUGGGUGGUAAAUUUCAUCUAAAGCUAAAUACAGGCUGGAGACCGAUAGCGCACAAGUAGAGUGAUCGAAAGAUGAAAAGCACUUUGAAAAGAGAGUUAAAUAGUACGUGAAAUUGUUGAAAGGGAAGCGCUUGAGACUAGAUUCGACUGGCGGCGUUCAGCCAUUGCAUAUUUCUGCAUGGUGCAUGUGUCGUCGGUUGAGCCAGCAUCGGUUCUAAUGGCGGGAUAAAGGUUCGAGGAAUGUGGCUCCACAAUUAUGGGGAGUGUUAUAGCCUUGAGCGCAAUGCCGCCUAUUGGGAUCGAGGACCGCGCUUAAGCUAGGAUGCUGGCAAAAAGGUCUUAAGCGGCCCGUCUUGAAACACGGACCAAGGAGUCUAACAUCUAUGCGAGUGUUUUGGCUGGAAACCAUUGCGCGUAAUGAAAGUGAACGAGGUGGGAACCCCUUGGGGUGCACCAUCGACCGAUCCCGAUGUUUACGGAAGGAUUUGAGUAGAAGCAUAGCUGUUGGGACCCGAAAGAUGGUGAACUAUGCCUGAAUAGGGUGAAGCCAGAGGAAACUCUGGUGGAGGCUCGCAGCGGUUCUGACGUGCAAAUCGAUCG